This 484-nucleotide ribosomal RNA is filed under the name uncultured bacterium. RNAcentral's name for it is "bacterial SSU rRNA". It matches the Rfam family "Bacterial small subunit ribosomal RNA", at positions 39 to 518 of the family's 1533-position model. The record is from RNAcentral.
AGCGACAGGCCUAACACAUGCAAGCAGGGGCAGCACAGGAGCAAUCUGAGGUGGCGACCGGCGCACGGGUGAGUAACACGUAUGCAACCUGCCUGUAAGCGGGGAAUAACCCGUUGAAAGACGGACUAAUACCGCAUAAUACUAAAUUACUGCAUGGUAAUUUAUUUAAACAUUUAUGGCUUACAGAUGGGCAUGCGCAUGAUUAGCUAGUUGGAGAGGUAACGGCUCCCCAAGGCAACGAUCAUUAGGGGUUCUGAGAGGAAGGUCCCCCACACUGGUACUGAGACACGGACCAGACUCCUACGGGAGGCAGCAGUGAGGAAUAUUGGUCAAUGGACGAGAGUCUGAACCAGCCAAGUCGCGUGCAGGAAGAAUGUCCUUAAUGGAUUGUAAACUGCUUUUGCAGGGGAAUAAAGUGCAUCACGUGUGAUGUUUUGUAUGUACUCUGCGAAUAAGGAUCGGCUAACUCCGUGCCAGCAGCUGC